UAUUAUGUUUUAGGUCAACGUAUCGUUUCAAUUAUUUUCCAGGAACCUCUUCUUCAAGCUCUCAUAUUACUUUCUGUUUUCCACUCAAUUUUUUCAAAUUUGUUUUCAGAUUUGAUUUCAAAUUUCAUUCUUGUUUUCCCUCGUAAACCAAUUCCAAACAUAUUUUGAUUUUCACCUUAUAGUUUGAAUCGAUUUCCACCGUUGAAACCCAAAUCGGUUUUGACAUUCAUCUCCAAAAUCGAUUUCGAAUUUGACCACCAAAAUUACUUUCGACUUUCAUCUCUAUAAUCGAAAUCGAUUCUACUGUCAUCUCUAAAAUCAAAAUUAGCUUUCCUCAAAACCGAAAUCAAACCCCUGGAUCUGCCGAAAUUGAAAUUAUCGAGUUUGAAUUCAAAGUUCUUCCCUCUUUUUGUUAUCACUUGUCCCAACUCCGGCAGCUUGAUUGGAUGGAAGAUAGAUCUCUUGAUCAAGUAUUAAUAAUUGUAAAAGCUCACACAAACUCUUCCAGAUAGCUUUUUGUUGAUGUUAACAGAAGGUCCAAGAUAAAGAUAUACUAUAUAGAUGUUAUAGAAAAAUGUUAAUUAGGAUGGUUGAAUUAUUUAAGUUAUAUGAGUUUUAAUAUUGGAGUUCUACAUGUUUUAAGUUUGUUGUAGUUCUAAGACUGGGUUUAAUCAGAUUGUAGGCUGAUUUUGUAGUUUUAUGAUUGUAAUAUUUGUUGAUGUACAUGGAUAAUGUUCUUUUGCAGUAUAUUUGUACAUAUAAUGACUUGAAGGUUUAAUGUACUGUUCGAAAAGAGAAACUUAAGAAUUUUAAAUGUCUCUUUGGAUAAAACAAAUCUAAAAGAGAAAGUUAAGAAUUUUAAAUGGCUAUUUGGUUAAAACAAAUUUCCAAGUUUGUAGUUUUUAAUUUUGUUACUAAACAUUUGAAAUCCUCCAAUGAUUAAAAAUCUAAAAAAGUAAGAUAGAUUAUCUAUUUUUCUGCUUUUACGUUGUUGGUUAUAUGUGGUUUUGUGGAUUCAAGGCUUAAAAUAAUUAUCAUUUUGUAUCCUGUCCCUAUAAAAUGUUUAGGGGUCGUUUAUA
Molecule: long non-coding RNA, 1079 nt
Organism: Vicia villosa (hairy vetch)
Lineage: Eukaryota; Viridiplantae; Streptophyta; Magnoliopsida; Fabales; Fabaceae
Exons: 3
Source: RefSeq, a predicted model, not a curated record